GCACCUGUAGCUUAAUCGGACAAUGGAACCGGACGUGGAGUGGAGGUAGGCCCGGCAAUACCCGCUGCAGCUUUCCAGGGCGUCAAUGCAGGGGGUGGAGACGGGUUGAGGGCCGCAAUGCCAAGGUUUCAAAAGUACCAGUUUUGGGGGCUGGGGAAUGCGGGUUCGAGUCCCGUCGGGUGCGCCA
Molecule: transfer RNA, 187 nt
Filed under: Ralstonia pseudosolanacearum
Lineage: Bacteria; Pseudomonadati; Pseudomonadota; Betaproteobacteria; Burkholderiales; Burkholderiaceae
Description: tRNA-Pro
Rfam family: tRNA
About the family: Transfer RNA (tRNA) molecules are approximately 80 nucleotides in length. Their secondary structure includes four short double-helical elements and three loops (D, anti-codon, and T loops). Further hydrogen bonds mediate the characteristic L-shaped molecular structure. tRNAs have two regions of fundamental functional importance: the anti-codon, which is responsible for specific mRNA codon recognition, and the 3' end, to which the tRNAs corresponding amino acid is attached (by aminoacyl-tRNA synthetases). tRNAs cope with the degeneracy of the genetic code in two manners: having more than one tRNA (with a specific anti-codon) for a particular amino acid; and 'wobble' base-pairing, i.e. permitting non-standard base-pairing at the 3rd anti-codon position.
Source: RNAcentral